Accipiter nisus (Eurasian sparrowhawk) is the source of this 3286-nucleotide long non-coding RNA. NCBI's taxonomy places the organism in Eukaryota, Metazoa, Chordata, Aves, Accipitriformes, Accipitridae. The record is from Ensembl.
CGCCCUCUCUCCGGCCCGGGUCGGCCCGGGCGGGGAGUGCCGCGGGCUGGCUCCCGCAGCGUUGCCGUUCUGAUGGGGCGAACGGCCGCUCCCGUCAGCGACCUGGACGAGCAGGCUUCUUCUCCAGGUCUCACCCUCGCUGCCUCUUCAGAGGAAAUCCCCCCCACACACAUACACACACGUUCGCGGUGAGGGCGGUCCGGCGCUGGAGCCCGUGGGCCCGGAGAGGCUGGGGGCGCCUCCGUUCCUGCGGGUGUCCCGGAGCCGUCUGGAGCAGCCCGGAGCAGCCCGCGGUGACGGCCGGACCCUUCCGGCCGCCUUCCCUCUCUCCCUUGGACCGCCGCUGCGUUCCCUCGCCCGCUGCCCAGCGGUAACGACAGGCAGGUGGACGGGGACGAAACGGGCCCUCAGCUGCAGGUGCUGACAGCUCCGGGAACUGAAGCUGCUGGGUUCCACACCCCAGACCACUCAGAAAACCGUCUGUCAAGAUUACUUCAACCGGGAAGGAAGGUCCAUGGAAGGCAUAACUGGUAGAGGGAACUUGCUGUUGACAACUGCAGCUGAUAAAGGAAAUACUGUGUCACAUUCUGAUUUGAUUCAUGAGAAGCCAAAGAAAUUGCAGUAUUCCUCUGAGAAUGUUUUCUCUAUUGGCUAUGAUAAGAGUCUCUUCAGUUCAUUACUAUUACCCCCUCAAAUAAGGACUUGCCAUUAUUGCAGUCUGUUUGGAUCCCUCAGAUGUUCACAAUGCAAGCAAAUAUACUAUUGCUCUGCAGAUUGUCAGAAAAAAGAUUGGCCAGCACAUAGUGUUGGUAAUUCAAUUUCUGUGGAUUCUCUCAAGACAGAAGAGCGCAUGAAGAAGAUAAUGCUUUCAGAUCUCCAGACUCUAGGGAUCAAAAAAGCUAUGGAAGUACAGGGUGUAGUAACAAAGUUCAAGAGUCCAAGUGAAUUUUAUAUACAGAUGAGUUCUCCAGAAGUUUUAGACCAGAUCAGUAAACUUUCUGUGAAACUGCAAGACUGUUACGCUAACACAGUUAUUCAAGAGCAACAUACUGCUAUCAGAGGGGAAGUCUGCAUUGCAAGGUGUUCUUUGGAUCAGACCUGGAAUAGAGCACUGGUAAAAGAUGUGGAUAUAUUGCAAAAGAAAGCACAAGUAUUCUAUAUAGAUUAUGGAAAUGAAGAAAAUAUUCCGCUCUCCUGGAUUAAAGCUCUGCACGAAGACAUUGAACUGUUGCUUCCUCCAUGUGCCAUUAAGUGUUCCUUUGCUAAUUAUGAUCCGAAAGCAAAAGGAUGGAAUGAAGACAUCACCAGCCUUUCUUCCCAACUCGUGGGAAAGCACUGUUCAGUAACUGUUGUUGAUGUAUUUGAGGAAGAAAUGAUGUUGAGUUUUGCUGUAGAUGUUGUUCUUCCAGAUUGUGGAGACUGCCUAGAUAAAGUGCCUUUAGAAAUGAGGUCUGAUUUAACUCCAGGAAGUAAUGGAAGUAAACAAAAAAUACCUGAAGAUGAAGAAUUUCUUCAUUGUGCUAAUUCAGUUGCAGAGUGUGUCUCUGUACGUAUCGGCGAUGCAUUUUCUGCUGUGGUUUCCUGCGUUCAAAAUCCAGAAGAAUUUUUCUGUCAGCAGAUACACAGUGCCCGUCAACUUGCUGAACUUCAAGUGUCUCUUAAUGAACAUUGUGACAGAUUUCCCAGUAGUCCAGCUUUCCAUCCUGCUGCUGGAAAUGUGUGCUGUGCCCAGUUCACAGAAGAUAAUCUUUGGUAUCGUGCUGCUGUUAUAGCAAAUGUUUCUGAAGAUACUGUUUUGGUGGGCUACAUAGAUUAUGGUAAUUGUGAAGUCCUUCCACUGACUAGACUUCGUCCUAUGAUUCCAAGAUUAAUGGACUUGCCAGCUCAAGCCAUAAGAUGUACCUUGGCAGGUGUAAAGCCACCAUCAGGAGCCUGGACCUCAAAAGCAAUUUGUUUUAUGAACCAACUGGUGAAAGACAAAGUGUUCACAGUAAAAGUAGUGGAUAAAGAGAGUUACAAAUCUGUGGUGGAGCUUGUAGAUGCAUCAGUUACUCCAGUAAUGAAUAUAUCGAGCCAUUUCAUAGAGAAAGGCUGUGCAGUUCAGGAAUUGAGGAUGGCUCUACCAGCAAUUGGAAUGAGUAAUGUUAAGCAAGCAAAUGGUGAGUAUGAGCACAUCCUAAUUUGCAAGUGGAGUAAAUUAAAUCUUAAACAAACAGUAGAUGUCGUAGUGUGUACGCUGUACAAUCCUGGAGAAUUCUACUGUCAGAUUUCAAAUAACAGUGCUCUAAACUUACUUAACAAAUCAUUGUCUGAAUACUGUCAGAAAACUCCACCAAAUGUUUUUAAGCCUGAGAAUGGAGAACCUUGCUGUGCUUUUUUCUCUGAUGAUGGUAACUGGUACCGUGCUUUGGUGCAAAACAUUACUUCAGAUGGAACUGUUAAAGUGUACUUUGUGGACUAUGGAAAUGUUGAGGAAGUACCACUGGAUAAAAUACGGCAGAUCUCAUCCUCAUUCCUAAAACUUCCAUUUCAAGGAAUUAAAUGCUGGCUCUCAGGUAUAAAGCCUGGUAAGAGCAAAUGGAUUCCAGAAGCUACAGCAAGAUUUCGUAUGUACACUGCAGGAAUAAAGCUUCAAGCCAGAGUAACUUCCCUUUCCAGAGAUGGGGCCGGUGUAGAGCUUAUUGACAAUUCCACCGGUCAUCCAAAAGUGAUCAAUGAGAUACUGGCUUCUGAAAAAUUGGCUGUAAAGCAAGUUCUACAAGAUAAAAAUAACUUUCCAAACAAUGGUACACUGAAUUUUCUGUUUCUGUUAGAAACCUCACUUGGGCACUGGAAGUUGAUUGAAUUGGCUAUAGAUGAAACCGUGUCUGUCUGUGUAACAGAAGUUGUAAGCCCAGGCUUGUUCUAUGCUGUACCAGUUCAAACUAAAGAUCGAGAGAAGCUACAUACGCAGUUGAUUGAACUAGAAGGCUAUUGUAAAUCUUGUAAGAACCAGCCCUUCAAACCAAAACUGGGUGAAGCCUGUUGUGCAAGGUUUUCAGGUGAUGGCCGUUGGUACAGAGCUCUUGUUCUACAAGCUUCUCAGUCUGUAGUGAAAGUACUAUAUGCAGACUAUGGGAACACAGAAACUUUACCACUUUCAGAGGUGCUGCCAAUCACCGAUUCCUACUUAAAGCUGCCUUUUCAGACAAUUAUAUGUUCACUUACCAAAUGCUGCUGCACAGAAUUAAAGAUGCAAGUAAGAAUCAGUCCAAGCAAUACUUUGUUUUACAUUUCCAGAAUUUAA